AAACUGAACUUUUGAUUAUUUUAUUAAUUUAAACCUAUUCUAAUGUCUUCCAAAUACUUGUAAAUAUUCAUAAAUCACCAUCAACAUAAUUUAAACUUACCGAGCAUUGUGGAUUCAUGUUUUGAGUCUUCGAGUCUUCGAUUUUCGUCUAUUUUUCUUUAAACCUUCAAGACUCCGACUUACUUCACGAAAUAUGCCAACUUAAAAUCCGUAACACGAAGUUCUGCACAACAGGGUUAACCCCUUC
This 247-nucleotide long non-coding RNA is filed under the name Ananas comosus (pineapple). RNAcentral describes it as "long non-coding RNA (ACOM_LNC007199)". The record is from RNAcentral. Lineage: Eukaryota; Viridiplantae; Streptophyta; Magnoliopsida; Poales; Bromeliaceae.